Long non-coding RNA from Dermacentor albipictus, 1393 nucleotides. RefSeq lists it as uncharacterized. NCBI's taxonomy places the organism in Eukaryota, Metazoa, Arthropoda, Arachnida, Ixodida, Ixodidae. The record is from RefSeq and is a predicted model, not a curated record.
AUUCUGCGAUCGUUUUAGGGCAGCGGAGCAGCGUUUGUCACCUUCCGUGCCUGCCGAAGUCUCCUACUCAGCUACCAAGGUGCCAGGAUGCCUAGACUGCGGGAGAAGCCGCACGCGCGAAAAAAGAGCGUCGCUGGAAACAAAGACGAUAUUCGAGGACUUCGGAUCUCGCACCGGCAGCCAGCAGUCAACAGCUCGAGAAUUCGCAAGUCUAGAACUGUGCAGUGGCGCGUAUACCCCGCACGCAUGCAUUAACAUGUGCGGUCGGGCUGUCCCUGCAAACAUUUGUACGCCUUGUGAUGUUGGUCGCUGCACCGAGGCGACAUCGGAAGUUCAGGACGGUGGUUGUGACACUACGCUCACUAAGGACAAUGUGCCUUGUUUCCCUGAUGGAUAUACUCUACGUGACGCUUCGGAUGGUUCACUUCGCUGUGAGAACGGAACAGGAUCCCUUAGGAGAGGUGUACGCACAAGUCAAUGCGGGUUUUCUGGUAAGCAGGACCCCGGAGUCUACAUUUUUCUUUAGCUACCGCGGACUCUUCAUUGGCGCCCUUUUGAUUCUCCUGGCAAAGAGCUUCUCCUGGCUAAUGCGCUCAUGAUCAGAGCUGUAGCCGUCAGUAGCAGCAAGAUCGCCUGCUGAUCUCUACGAAAAAUAAAAAGCUCCUUUUAAAAAAGUGAAGAAUAUAUUAGUUGUUUUUAUCUACAAGUUUGUUUAAUAUCGUGAGAAUAUGGUCACUACGGCCACGGCGGGGACAUUGUAAACGAGAGUACGCAUUCGAUGGCCAAGUGAGUUUUAAUAAUUGUAAGAACGCACUACGCCACGAGAAAGAGCUAUUGUUUAAAGAAAGUGAAGAAUAUAUUGAUUGUUGUUCACUAAUAGUUCGUUUAGCUACGUCAGAAUGUGGAGACAUUGGGAACGAGAGUACGCAUUUGACGGCAAGUUGACUUACGAGAACGCACUACGUCGCGAAUAACAUUUAAGCUGCAAUACCAUUAAGCAUGUCCGUGUGGCACCCCGCGAAUGACAUUAAAGUUUAAGGCAUUAGCCAGUUAAUGUCAUUUUUUGUGCCCGUGUCGCAGAGUGCUAGUGAAGUGAUGUAGUCAAGAUUAAUUCCUUCAUGUCAUUUCUGUUGCUUUCGCUGCUUAAUAAUGCUAAUUGAUGUAUUUUUGCUCUUUCUUUUUAUUCCAUGCUGCAAACACAAAUGUCAAAGCAGGGUGGGCAAUAAGUAUUUUUUGUUCUGCUGUUCUCUACCUUGUGUUGUGCUAUUGAAAUUGCAAGUUUUCUUCUUUAUCCGUGUAUUUAUUUGUUCUUUGAACAGUACGCAUAUAUCUGCUUAUUGGUCUUUUUAUGUAUAUGUAUAAGGUGACAAUAAACGUUUAAUUGUAUUUGGAA